UCCGCAAUCCGUGAGCCCUCACCACCAAGAAGCCACGGGUGCGCCGCCGCUGGAAGAAAAAAAGAAGAGGAGGUGGCACGGGGACCAGCGGCGGCGACGGCCUGGGAGCCACCCUGGAGCAGGUGGAGAUGCGGGGCGGCGAUGAAGGCGUGUGAGAAGAUGGCCUGAGCGUCCUCGUCAAGGGCAGUUUUGGCUACCUCCUCCCGCCUCGGCUUGUUUUUCUCUCCUCCACCGUUGCUACUUCCUCGCUGCUCUCCAAUGAGUGAUUGGGUUUGUCCGCUUGGUGGAGCAGGCAGGGAGCAAGUAGGCAAAUAUGGGAGAAGGAGAAUGACCCUGACGAGAUGGCUGCCAUAGGGUCGUGACCUUCUUUAGCAUGCACAUCGGCACCGUCCCCGCGUCCGCAGCAGGGGGACAACAAUGGCUGCAAGUGACGGCACAGGAGCCCAUCUUAGUCGAGCACCCUCCCAGGAUUUUACUACUGUUAUGGCAAAAGAAGGCUAAAGCUGGGAAAGACAACAAUGUCAGGAGCCGGCCGAGGUAAAGAGACCUAAGUUGACAAGCAGGGUUGUGCAGUUAUUUUUCUCCGCUAUUCAUUGAGCAUAUCAGGAGAUUGAUAGACAGUGUGA
Triticum dicoccoides is the source of this 626-nucleotide long non-coding RNA. RefSeq lists it as uncharacterized. The record is from RefSeq and is a predicted model, not a curated record. The transcript is spliced from 3 exons. NCBI's taxonomy places the organism in Eukaryota, Viridiplantae, Streptophyta, Magnoliopsida, Poales, Poaceae.